UGGGGAAUAUUGGAUAAUGGGCGAAAGCCUGAUCCAGCCAUGUCGCGUGUGUGAAGAAGGUCUUCGGAAUGUAAAGCACCUUAAGUUGGGAGGAAGGGCAGUAAGCGAAUACCUUGCUGUUUUGACGUUACCGACAGAAUAAGCACCGGCUAACUCUGCGCCAGCAGCCGCGGUAAUACAGAGGGUGCAAGCGCUAAUCGGAAUUACUGGGCGUAAAGCGCGCGUAGGUGGUUCGUUAAGUUGAAUGUGAAAGCCCCGGGCUCAACCUGGGAGCGGCGUCCGAAUCUGGCGGGCUAGAGUAGGGCAGAGGGUGGGGGAAUUUCCUGUGUAGCCGAGAAAUGCGUAGAUAUAGGAAAGUACACCAGUGGCGAAGGCGACCACCUGGGCUCAUACUGACACAGAGGUGCGAAAGCGUGGGGAGCAAACAGG
RNAcentral lists this ribosomal RNA (429 nucleotides) under Pseudomonadota bacterium. RNAcentral describes it as "Proteobacteria bacterium partial 16S ribosomal RNA". It matches the Rfam family "Bacterial small subunit ribosomal RNA", at positions 355 to 776 of the family's 1533-position model. The record is from RNAcentral. Lineage: Bacteria; Pseudomonadati; Pseudomonadota.